RNAcentral lists this ribosomal RNA (429 nucleotides) under bacterium. RNAcentral's name for it is "partial 16S ribosomal RNA". It matches the Rfam family "Bacterial small subunit ribosomal RNA", at positions 355 to 776 of the family's 1533-position model. The record is from RNAcentral.
UGGGGAAUCUUCCGCAAUGGACGAAAGUCUGACGGAGCAACGCCGCGUGAGUGAUGACGGCCUUCGGGUUGUAAAGCUCUGUUAAUCGGGACGAAUGGUUCUUGUGCAAAUAGUGCGAGGAUUUGACGGUACCGGAAUAGAAAGCCACGGCUAACUACGUGCCAGCAGCCGCGGUAAUACGUAGGUGGCAAGCGUUGUCCGGAAUUAUUGGGCGUAAAGCGCGCGCAGGCGGAUUGGUCAGUCUGUCUUAAAAGUUCGGGGCUUAACCCCGUGAUGGGAUGGAAACUGCCAAUCUAGAGUAUCGGAGAGGAAAGUGGAAUUCCUAGUGUAGCGGUGAAAGGCGUAGAUAUUAGGAAGAACACCAGUGGCGAAGGCGACUUUCUGGACGAAAACUGACGCUGAGGCGCGAAAGCCAGGGGAGCGAACGGG